This 70-nucleotide transfer RNA is filed under the name Dipodomys ordii (Ord's kangaroo rat). It matches the Rfam family "tRNA". From Rfam's summary of the family: Transfer RNA (tRNA) molecules are approximately 80 nucleotides in length. Their secondary structure includes four short double-helical elements and three loops (D, anti-codon, and T loops). Further hydrogen bonds mediate the characteristic L-shaped molecular structure. tRNAs have two regions of fundamental functional importance: the anti-codon, which is responsible for specific mRNA codon recognition, and the 3' end, to which the tRNAs corresponding amino acid is attached (by aminoacyl-tRNA synthetases). tRNAs cope with the degeneracy of the genetic code in two manners: having more than one tRNA (with a specific anti-codon) for a particular amino acid; and 'wobble' base-pairing, i.e. permitting non-standard base-pairing at the 3rd anti-codon position. Lineage: Eukaryota; Metazoa; Chordata; Mammalia; Rodentia; Heteromyidae. The record is from Rfam by way of RNAcentral.
GGGAAAGUGGCUCAGUGGUAGAGUACUUGCCUUGCAUGCAUGAGGCCCUGGGUUCCAUUCCUCAGCACCA